UACGUAGGGGCGAGCGUUGUCCGGAAUUACUUGGCGUAAAGGGUGCGUAGGCGGCACGAUAAGUUGGAUGUGAAAAGCCCGUGCUUAACGUGGGAGGUGCAUCCAAGACUGUCGCGCUAGAGUACAGGAGAGGGAAGCGGAAUUCCUAGUGUAGCGGUGAAAUGCGUAGAUAUUAGGAGGAACACCGGUGGCGAAGGCGGCUUUCUGGACUGACACUGACACUGAGGCACGAAAGCGUGGGGAGCAAACAGGAUUAGAUACCCUGGUAGU
This 270-nucleotide ribosomal RNA is filed under the name uncultured prokaryote. RNAcentral describes it as "partial 16S ribosomal RNA". It matches the Rfam family "Bacterial small subunit ribosomal RNA", at positions 524 to 794 of the family's 1533-position model. The record is from RNAcentral.